This 449-nucleotide ribosomal RNA is filed under the name uncultured bacterium. RNAcentral's name for it is "partial 16S ribosomal RNA". It matches the Rfam family "Bacterial small subunit ribosomal RNA", at positions 29 to 523 of the family's 1533-position model. The record is from RNAcentral.
AACGAACGCUGGCGGCAUGCCUAACACAUGCAAGUCGAACGAGAUCUUCGGGUCUAGUGGCGCACGGGUGCGUAACGCGUGGGAAUCUGCCCUUUGGUUUGGAAUAACAGUUGGAAACGACUGCUAAUACCGGAUGAUGACGAAAGUCCAAAGAUUUAUCGCCAGAGGAUGAGCCCGCGUAGGAUUAGCUAGUUGGUGUGGUAAAGGCGCACCAAGGCGACGAUCCUUAGCUGGUCUGAGAGGAUGAUCAGCCACACUGGGACUGAGACACGGCCCAGAUUCCUACGGGAGGCAGCAGUGGGGAAUAUUGGACAAUGGGCGAAAGCCUGAUCCAGCUAUGCCGCGUGAGUGAUGAAGGCCUUAGGGUUGUAAAGCUCUUUUACCCGGGAUGAUAAUGACAGUACCGGGAGAAUAAGCUCCGGCUAACUCCGUGCCAGCAGCCGCCGUAA